UACAGAGGUCCCGAGCGUUGUUCGGAUUUAUUGGGCGUAAAGAGCUCGUAGGUGGUUCGGUAAGUCGGAUGUGAAAUCUCCAGGCUCAACCUGGAGGGGUCAUUCGAUACUGCCGUGACUAGAGGUCGGUAGGGGAGUGUGGAAUUCCUGGUGGAGCGGUGAAAUGCGCAGAUAUCAGGAGGAACACCCGUAGCGAAGGCGGCACUCUGGGCCGAUACUGACACUGAGGAGCGAAAGCGUGGGGAGCGAACAGG
RNAcentral lists this ribosomal RNA (254 nucleotides) under uncultured bacterium. RNAcentral's name for it is "partial 16S ribosomal RNA". It matches the Rfam family "Bacterial small subunit ribosomal RNA", at positions 524 to 776 of the family's 1533-position model. The record is from RNAcentral.